RNAcentral lists this transfer RNA (137 nucleotides) under Cerataphis bambusifoliae. Its description in RNAcentral is "tRNA-Val". The record is from RNAcentral. Lineage: Eukaryota; Metazoa; Arthropoda; Insecta; Hemiptera; Hormaphididae.
UUAUUUUUAAAUUUAAUAAUAAAGAUAUUAUUAUUAAUUUAUAUAUUUUAAUAAAUUUAAAAUAAAUAUCUAAAUUUUUAAGUAUAUCAUUUACAAUGAUAAGAUGUUUUUUUAACUUUAUUUAAAUUUUUUUAAUU